UUUCCCGCCCCAGUCAUUGGGUGCAUAUCAAGGAACUUCCAGCUCUUUCUGUUUCCAUACUCACUAACUUGACAUUGUUUCUUGUCAAGAAACUGAACUCAGCACACUUUUGCUGGCUGUGCAUCUCCGACAUCCGGCUGUAGUGAAACAAAAAGAAGAUCAGAUGGGUUCAUUGCAAGCACCGGUGAGGAGAAGCUCAGUGCUUCCUGAAACAUCAUGUGGAUAUCUGCUUCAAGAACUACAGGCAAGGUUUUCAACUAUGAGAUAAACUUAAUGUUUUUGAGUAUUUCUCAUUUUGGUACCUUUGUUCUUGGUUGCAAUGAAACAGAUGAUUUGGAAUGAAAUUGGACAAGGUCAGUUUGAAAGGGAGAAGGUACUGCUGGAUUUGGAGCAGGAAUGUCUGGAGGUUUAUAGGAGGAAGGUUGAUGCUGCUAAUACCUCGAGAGCUCGUCUGCACCAGGAGUUGGCAGAAGCUGAGGCUGAAUUUACUCAUCUUCUUUUGUCACUUGGCGAACGGUCUCUCCCCGGACGGGUAACCCUACUUAUCAAAACCCUGUCAACUCAGUAUAUUAGUGUGACCAGAUAUAACAGCAUGCAAGUUAAAUUAGACCCAAACACAUAUGUGCAUAGCAAUUUUGCUAAAUUAUAAAUACAAUAGCUAGAUAAUUCAAAAUUCAAUUCACAACUUCAUGAUUUCUCCUUGUCCAAGAAUGCCAGAUUGGUCUAGCUAAGCCUGUGUGUUUAGCCUCACACUAGGGGUUAACUAGAGUGAUCAUGAGAUCUAGAAGUCUUGACUAAAUGUGAAAAAUCUUACUUGAAGGAACUAAUGCUUGUAUUAUCUCAUCAGCCAGAAAAAAUGGUGGGAACACUGAAAGAGCAGCUAGAUUCCAUCACCCCAGCUCUGCGAGAAAUGAGACUGAGGAAAGAAGAUAGGGUGAAUAAGUUCCGAGCUGUGCAAGGGCAAAUUCAGAAGAUCUCUGCAGAAAUAGCAGGGCAGUCAGAGUAUGAAAAGUCAUCAUCAGAUGUCAGGGUGAAUGAGAACGAUCUUUCACUGAAGAAACUAGAGGAGUAUCAGACAGAGCUACAAAGACUCCACAAUGACAGGGUACUACAACUAUAGUUCAGAUACUGUAUUCUUGACAAUGAAUAGAACAUUUUUCUGAUUUAUUCUCGACAAUAAAUUCAAAUCUCCUUUCAAGCUUUCUGUUCAUCUUGCAGAAUGAGAGGCUCAAGCGGGUGGAAAAAUUUAUAAAUUCCAUCCAAAAGUUGUCUUCAAUAUUAGGAACAGACUCCUCUAUGGUCAUCACCAAGGUUCACCCAAGCUUGAAUGAAUUGUGUGGGAUAGCCAAGAACAUAAGCAACAGUAUUUUGGCUAAACUCAACAGCACAGUGGAAUCCCUAGAAGAAGAAAAGCAAAAGCGACUUGAAAAGGUAAUGGUUUGCCUAUAGUUGUAUCAUUAUUCAUUUCAGCAAAAUUAAUUGGCAAGGUCUGCCACCUGUUUUCUGCAGACUGAUACGUGGUGAUAGAACACAAAAUUUGACUUAAAAUAGAUUAAUAACCUAAAUCAUGGUAAACUCAAGCAUGAAUUUUGUGAUUUGGGUAACAUCAGUUCCUGUGGGUCAUUUGUUUUCCCUGUCUUCCAUUUUCUAGUCAUUUUUCAAGAUACUCCCCUCCUGGAAUUCUUCAAGAUGCAAAUUCAUUAUAAAUAAAGCAUCAGCAUGAUAUAUUUCUGGAUAUACUUUUUUCAGCUUCACCAUCUUGGUAAAGCAUUGACAAACUUAUGGAAUUUCAUGGACACGCCCUAUAAAGAUCGUCAUCUGUUUUUCCAUGUUACCGGCUUAUUAUCAGUUUCAUCAGCAGAAGUAUCAGAUCCAGGAAGCUUAACCCAAAAAAUAAUCCAGCAGGUAAGUAUAAGAUUUUGAUGACAACUAAAUGUAUCAGAAAAUAGAAAUAACAAUGUUCACAUUUGUUUAAAGGCUGAGACUGAAGUCAAGAGACUGGAUCAAUUAAAAGUAAGUAAGACGAAAGAACUAUUUCUCAAGAAACAGAAUGAGCUCAAGGAGAUAUGCAAUAAAUCACACAUGGAGAUUCCUGUGCACGCAAAGAUGGAUAAUAUAAUUAACCUGCUGAACUCUGGUGAGAUUCAUUGAUAUGUGCCUUAGUCUAAGAAUAAAGAAUGUCAUUGCUUAAAGAUGAUGCAGUUCACAAACUGACAUACGAACAACAGGGGAAAUUGACCAUGCAGAUCUUGUUAUGAGCAUGGAUCAACAGAUAUCAAGAGCAGAAGAUGAAGCUUGUAGCAGAAAGACAAUUAUGGAAAAAGUGGAAAAGUGGAUGCUAGCAUGUGAUGAAGAGCGCUGGUUGGAAGAAUAUGGAAGAGUCAGUUUUUUACUUGCACAUUAAUUUAACUUUAUCAGUAACACACUCAAAAAAAUAUCUCAAGUUUCCUAAUCCAAGUACCCUUUCAGGAUGAAAAUCGAUACUCAGUCAGAAGAGGUGCACACAAGAACCUCAGACGUGCAGAACGUGCUCGAGUAUUAGUCAGCAAAAUUCCAGGUAAUAUUGAGAACCUGUAUGCAUUCGUUCCCAACAGUAAGGACUGUCAUAUGUAAGAGGUACACCAAUCAAACCUUAUAACAAGUACCAGAAAAUGCUGUCUUAUGGAUAUAAAGAUAUCACUCCUGGAUGAGUUAUCCUAAUAGAAAUUAACCAAAGAAAAUGAAGAUUUAAAUGUACGUACAUUGACAUCAGAUGAU
Molecule: long non-coding RNA, 2757 nt
Filed under: Fragaria vesca (wild strawberry)
Lineage: Eukaryota; Viridiplantae; Streptophyta; Magnoliopsida; Rosales; Rosaceae
Description: long non-coding RNA (FVES_LNC005605)
Source: RNAcentral